This 515-nucleotide ribosomal RNA is filed under the name Salmonella enterica subsp. enterica serovar Enteritidis. RNAcentral's name for it is "partial 23S ribosomal RNA". It matches the Rfam family "Bacterial large subunit ribosomal RNA", at positions 1 to 561 of the family's 2925-position model. The record is from RNAcentral. Lineage: Bacteria; Pseudomonadati; Pseudomonadota; Gammaproteobacteria; Enterobacterales; Enterobacteriaceae.
GCGACUAAGCGUACACGGUGGAUGCCCUGGCAGUCAGAGGCGAUGAAGGGCGUACUAAUCUGCGAUAAGCGCCGGUAAGGUGAUAUGAACCGUUAUAACCGGCGAUACCCGAAUGGGGAAACCCAGUGUGAUUCGUCACACUAUCAUUAACUGAAUCCAUAGGUUAAUGAGGCGAACCGGGGGAACUGAAACAUCUAAGUACCCCGAGGAAAAGAAAUCAACCGAGAUUCCCCCAGUAGCGGCGAGCGAACGGGGAGGAGCCCAGAGCCUGAAUCAGCAUGUGUGUUAGUGGAAGCGUCUGGAAAGGCGCGCGAUACAGGGUGACAGCCCCGUACACAAAAGCGCAUGUGCUGUGAGCUCGAUGAGUAGGGCGGGACACGUGGUAUCCUGUCUGAAUAUGGGGGGACCAUCCUCCAAGGCUAAAUACUCCUGACUGACCGAUAGUGAACCAGUACCGUGAGGGAAAGGCGAAAAGAACCCCGGCGAGGGGAGUGAAAAAGAACCUGAAACCGUGU